UUUUUGGCCCCUUUUGCCUCCCGUAGCCGCUAGCGCAACCCAGAAAACAGACGCAACGAGACGAACAAACACAAACGGACACACAGCGCAAUCUCCCAUGUGCACACGGUAGAUCGACUGGUGGAGUGAAGGUAAGUUAUGUGUGUUUGCAUGAAUACGUGGGUGUACAGCUCUGCCGCAGGCCAGUGAAGAACUCCUUUGUCACAGUCAGGUUUGAAAAACCCAUUGAACUGUUGGCUCUCAAUAUGUAGAACUACAUGAUUUCUGUUAUCAGUUAUCAAGUCAACACAAAUUUUUCAUUAUAUUACAACAUGAAAUAACUGAUCAGUGAAUCACAACUGCUAAAAUAUUAUCAAUUUUCUUUUAGUCUGUCUUAUUAUAACCCAGAGUUUGAGUAAACGGAGAGAAGCUAACAUGAGAAAUUAAGAAUCAAAGAGAACGAGUAGAGACCAACCACCACCACCACAGUGGAGACUUCUGAAAACUUGUAUUUUUAAUAAAACUAAGGCCGAUUAGUAUUACCUGGUGUAAAACUUUACUAGUAAAGGCAACAAAAAAAAAUGUAUGCUAAUAAAAAUAGAGCUGUUUAGUUUUGUACAACUCGAUUAGUUUAAUGCGAGGGGUUUACAUGCAAAUUUCAAGUAAAGUAAACUAUUUGGGAUACAGUUGUUACGUCCCGACCAGUCUAGGGUUGGUGGGAACAAUAACAAGUGUAAAAAAAAAAACAAAGAGAUUAACUCAAAUACUCAAUUUAGGGUUUUCCCCUUCUCCUGUCCCAACUCACAAUAAUCACAACGCUGAUCAAGUAGUAACAAUAUUUAUUAUUUAC
Molecule: non-coding RNA, 829 nt
Organism: Danio rerio (zebrafish)
Lineage: Eukaryota; Metazoa; Chordata; Actinopteri; Cypriniformes; Danionidae
Source: RefSeq, a predicted model, not a curated record